Molecule: ribosomal RNA, 310 nt
Filed under: Candidatus Rickettsia hofmanni
Lineage: Bacteria; Pseudomonadati; Pseudomonadota; Alphaproteobacteria; Rickettsiales; Rickettsiaceae
Description: Rickettsia sp. Suedafrika0870 partial 23S ribosomal RNA
Source: RNAcentral
AGUAAUGUGUGUAGCUAACCGAUACUAAUAGCUCGAUUGAUUUACUUUGCUGUGAGAUUACAUAUGCAUAUAGUGUUAAUGCUAUAAGAGUGUAGUAUCUACUCACAAAGUUAUAAAUAGCUUUAUCAACUAAUAAAAAUGUUAUUGCAUAACUAUAUCCAGCGAAAAUUAUUUUGCUGAAUAUCGUAGUAAAAGUUAAGAUAUGAUGUUAAGAAUUUUUUUUGAGUCGUGCAACAGCAUUAACAGCAAACUAUAAUACAAAUCUCUCUUUUUAAAAGUUUGUAUUGCUAGCUUGGUGGUUAUAGCAUGA